UACGUAGGGGGCUAGCGUUGUCCGGAUUUAUUGGGCGUAAAGAGCGUGUAGGCGGCCAUGUAGGUCCGGUGUGAAAACUCGAGGCUUAACCUCGAGAUGUCAUCGGAAACCAUUUGGCUAGAGUCCGGAAGAGGAGAGUGGAAUUCCUGGUGUAGCGGUGAAAUGCGCAGAUAUCAGGAAGAACACCAAUGGCGAAAGCAGCUCUCUGGGACGGUACUGACGCUGAGACUCGAAAGCGUGGGGAGCAAACAGG
RNAcentral lists this ribosomal RNA (253 nucleotides) under uncultured bacterium. RNAcentral describes it as "partial 16S ribosomal RNA". It matches the Rfam family "Bacterial small subunit ribosomal RNA", at positions 524 to 776 of the family's 1533-position model. The record is from RNAcentral.